AAUGCAUAAAAGUAUUUUUAAAACCAAUUAAAACAAAGGACAAAAGAUAAAAUUAAAUAAAAAUAGAAAAUCAAGAAAAUAAAAUAUGGAAAAAUAAAAAUUAGAUGAAGAAAAAUAAAAUAAAAUUUUAGGAAUUAUUUUGGGAUUUUUCGGAUGAAAAAUGAAUUUACUAUGAAUUUUUAAAGAAAAAGCAAUUAAAAAUAAAAAAUAAAAAAUAAAUAAAAUCAUAAAAAACACGGAGCGUUGGAUCUGACCUCAUUAAUUGACGUAGCAGAUCCAACAAUCCUCUGGCUAGGACACACGAUGGAAAUUAGCCAAAAUAAAACACAGGAUCGAAUUCAAAAUGGACCAAUCAGAACAUUUCAAAAUGUCAACGUGUAAGCAAACUCAAAUAACUUGAGAUAACUCA
RNAcentral lists this long non-coding RNA (409 nucleotides) under Lathyrus oleraceus (garden pea). Its description in RNAcentral is "Pisum sativum (pea) long non-coding RNA (PSAT_LNC006286)". Lineage: Eukaryota; Viridiplantae; Streptophyta; Magnoliopsida; Fabales; Fabaceae. The record is from RNAcentral.